Molecule: long non-coding RNA, 772 nt
Filed under: Ananas comosus (pineapple)
Lineage: Eukaryota; Viridiplantae; Streptophyta; Magnoliopsida; Poales; Bromeliaceae
Description: long non-coding RNA (ACOM_LNC001825)
Source: RNAcentral
UUAAAGAGGGUUUUUAAGAGGAGAUUGGCCGCCAAAAAUGAAUCAAAGACUCAGAUGGAUGGCGGAGAGCGUUUCCUACUAGAAUUAGAGUUUUAGGGCGCAUUUGGUUCGCACUAUGAAAUUGUACUAGGAGUAAAAAGAUAUCCAAGAAUUUUAUUCUUAUUCAUCCUAUUACUAAGAAUGUAGUAUUUCGGUGUUUGUUUGUACGGUCAUAUUAUUUAGUCAUGUUAUUUAAAAUUAUGAAAAAUAUACAAUUAAUUUAUUUAUUUAUUAAAUUAAUUUUAAAUAAUACUAUAAAAAAUUUCAACAUCUUUUUUAAAAAAAGAGAGAAAGAAUAUAGGUUAGAAAGAGAUAGCAUAAUUAAAGAAAUAUGAAGAGAAAUAUAAUCGAGGUUAGAGAAAAUGAGAUGGUUGAAAUUUUAGAAAAAGAGGGAGAGAAAUAACUUAGUUUAGAGAGACAAAAAGAGUUGACGCUCAGAGAAAGAUAUGAGGUUAGAGUGUAAAGAAAAAUAAUAUCAACUAGCCGGCAGGUGGGAAGAAAGAAAGAGAUUAGAUAUAUUAUAAUUACUCCAAUCCAUUAAUAUAAAAAUACCCACCAUCCCUCAAAGGAAUGAGAUUAGUAUUUUUGGAUGCAUCUCAUUCCCAAGUAAAUCUAGUAUUACCAACUAGAUUACUUAAUGCGUUUAGCCAAGCACUGUCAUAUUUUUUUAUUCCUAUUGGAUUACUAGGAAUCUUAAAAAGAUAGCACGAACCAAACGCACCCUUAGGGUUAU